RNAcentral lists this ribosomal RNA (468 nucleotides) under uncultured bacterium. Its description in RNAcentral is "partial 16S ribosomal RNA". It matches the Rfam family "Bacterial small subunit ribosomal RNA", at positions 28 to 507 of the family's 1533-position model. The record is from RNAcentral.
GACGAACGCUGGCGGCGUGCUUAACACAUGCAAGUCGAACGGAAAGGCCCUGCUUUUGUGGGGUGCUCGAGUGGCGAACGGGUGAGUAACACGUGAGUAACCUGCCCUUGACUUUGGGAUAACUUCAGGAAACUGGGGCUAAUACCGGAUAGGAGCUCCUGCUGCAUGGUGUGGGUUGGAAAGUUUCGGCGGUUGUGGAUGGACUCGCGGCUUAUCAGCUUGUUGGUGGGGUAGUGGCUUACCAAGGCUUUGACGGGUAGCCGGCCUGAGAGGGUGACCGGCCACAUUGGGACUGAGAUACGGCCCAGACUCCUACGGGAGGCAGUAGUGGGGAAUAUUGCACAAUGGGCGGAAGCCUGAUGCAGCAACGCCGCGUGCGGGAUGACGGCCUUCGGGUUGUAAACCGCUUUCGCCUGUGACGAAGCGUGAGUGACGGUAAUGGGUAAAGAAGCACCGGCUAACUACGUG